CGGCCACAUUCAUUUCUCAAAUCCCAACAUCCUCAUUCCAAUAGGACUCCUUAUCAUACUAGGACUCGACCCAUUCGCUCUUAUCCAGAUCAAUCCUUCUUGCAAUAGGACUCGGUCGACCUGACUAGGCAGCCCAUAGUAUUCUUGGAAAAGCUUUGGACCGAACAUAAACGUUCGUUCGGCCCAAUAAUAUUAUUUUGGGCCCAAACAACUACAAAGAAAUGUAAAAACAUGUUCAUAAAUAGUAUAUAGUCAUUCAUCAUAUAUACUACAAAGAACAUAAGUUCAAUAAAGUAUGGUAUUCCAAAAUAGUCUCAGUAAAGCAUGAUAAUCAUAAUAAGUAAAAUCUAAUUUACUCAUAAAAUGUUUCGUAAAACGUAACCAUUAAAUCAUGUUUUUUAUGUAUGUAUUUCUACUAUUAAAACAUGCAUUUUAUAAGGGGUCCACUCACAGAUACUCCGUCAUCGAAGAGCCGUAUGAAAUAGGAAGGACAAAAUCGCCCCUAAUAAUUGCACCUAAGCACAUAAAGGGUCUAAUUAACAAAACUAUACUCAAACGAUUGAAUUUCAAAAAACGAACGUCAUAAACGGAUUCAGGACGUCGAAAAACAUAGAGGGGGACCUUGGGUACCCCCACGCGCUGCCCUACAUGCCCUCAUGCACUGCCGCAAGGUGGUUGCUCUGGUGGCCAUGCCUCACCGCACGCACCGCCAAGCACUGUUGUGGGUCGUCGAAAAAUUCACCGACGUCACUGUGGACAGUGGCGCAUGUGCUCCAAGAGCCGGCACCGGCAGGCACCCACGCGCAGGCUCGCGCGUGGCUGGGCUUCUGGUUAGGUCGGAUUAAAGAAAAUAUUUGUGAAAACUAGUUCAUUUGAGCAACAUUUAUACAUGCAAUUAACUAUUAAAGGUGGAAUCAUGCUUGUAUGCACUCAAAAACAAAACUUUACCAUAAAAUUCAAGGCCUAGUAAUUGUGGUGAACCAAGACUCAACUCAAGAACAAAGUAAGUUGAGAAAUAUUAUAUCUUUGUUGAAUCCUCUUUGCAUAAGCAAAGGCUAAUCACCCAUGAGAGAUGGUCUUAAUUCCUUACUUCUUAGCUUCAUGGAUUUCUUGGAGGAGGAUGGAUGAAUGGAUUCUCCAAGUUCCUAAGAAAGGGAACCUCUAAGUUUCCACACCAAAGAGGAACUUGAAGAAGAGAUGAGUGACCUUGGAGGAGGAUUCAUACUAGUAAAUCCUCUCGAAGGGGGCCAGCUUCCUAGAGAGAAAAUGAGAGCUUUUGUUCCCUCCAAUUUCCUCAAGAGAGAACCCUAAUGAAUUUUAGCUAUAAAGUCCUUUAUAUAGUCACUUCACUUAAGUGACAAAAAGAACCAAAACCCUUUCAUUUAUAUUAUGGCCGGCCUUCUAAAGGCUUUGGGCUGUUUGGGCCCUUUUGAGUCUUUAGUCAUUAAGUUGUCAUACAACUUAAGUUAAUGGGCUUGAUGGUUCUAAGCCCAAUGGGCCUUGAGGUCCAAUAAUUACUCAAAAGCUAAAACGAACUUAUUCAUUUGAUUAAUUAACAUAUUAAUUAAUCCUAGCCAUAAAUAAUUAAACCAUUUAAUUAUCCUUACUUAUUUCCGUUGUUUCUUCAAUCUCUACCUUACACGGUGUAUGAUCCAUUAGGUUCAUUUUAGCGAGGCAGUGAGCGAUUAGAACUCCUUAAAUCGAUUGUGAAUUGAAACAAACUUUCAAUUCUCCCUUUAGUGAUGAUACACCUUUAGGGCUUUCACAAACCAUGAGUGACACCUAGUAGUAUGUCAUGGCAUAGAGUAUUUCGGGCCAGAGAUUCGUAAUCAUAUCAUAGAGUAUUCUCCCUCAAACAGUUUGAAGGUUUGAGAUUCUUUGUUGUGCAUUCACUUGCCUUCAUGGCUAAGUGGCUUAACCCCAACUACGUUGUGGACACCAUUUGAUGAGUGACUUUGAUAUAGUCAAAGAUCAAUGACCUAACCACAAGACAACUAUGAUGCCUUAGGUCAAAAGACUACUUUGCAUUAUCCCAACCAUGAGUUCUCAUGUGACGUGAGUAUGAGAACUCCUCAUUGAUCGCGUUCAGUGAAUUCAUUCUUUAUUAAGCACCUACAUGCUUGUCUUGGUGUUAGUCACACCAAUGACUGGAGGCCAGUCACUCUCUCUAAGAGAAGUCAUCGCACGUACUGAUAGACUGUCAAUGCCCAAUUGGCAAUCCUAUGAUCAGGAACGUUUAUGGUAUGUAUACGAAAGAGAAUGAUCUCAUGAAUCUAACGUCUUUAGAUUACAUUAUCCCAAUUACAUAUUUCUUAGACUUAUUGUUUAAACAUAUAACAUUUAUACGAGACAGCUUUAAACAAUAAUCCUUGCCCUUUAUAUUAAACUAGAUUAGUUUAACAUGUGAAAUAUUCAUAAAGUAUCAUUAUAUGAUUGGCUUUAGGGCACAUUUCCAACACGGAUUUGGGCUUUAGCCUAAAGGGUUUCUAGGCUUAAGCCACUGGACCGGAUUCUAAGGCCCAAAGGCCUUGGUUUAAUGGGAGAAAGGCCCAUGUCGCCUCGGCCCAAAGGCCUAGGUUCUAAAAGGUUUGGGCUUUAAGGUUUAGCAUGCCAAAGGCCUGAGCUGGUAUGGCCCCAAAAGCCUGGUCAUUUUGGGUUUGGGCUUGAAGGCCCGUUUCUCACCAGAGAAGAAGGCCGAAGCCUUCUAAGGUCCUGUCGCCGCCGAAACUCAAACCUAGGCUACGAUCUAGGUACGAAAUUGAAGGUAAAGGUGAGGGGAAGAGAUCCAUACCUUUAGGGUCCUUUCUCGUGGCCGGAAUCCUCCUCGAACCCAUGGGGGUUCGCCGAGUCUGGGUUCUCGAUUUCACCGAGCUUCAUAGAGACAAGGGAGAGGGAAAGAAGGCCCACGAUGGUGGUGGUGGUGGUGGUGCUGAGUCGUCGUCACUGUUAGGGUGUUUAGUUGAGUGUGUGGAUGUGGAUCGCUGAGAAAGGAAUGAGAGUGAGAGAGGGAGAGUUCUGUGAGAAUGAGAGAGAGUGUGAGCUGAGAGAGGGAGAAGGUUGACUUGGGGGAAGGAGAGAAAGAUAUAUAUAAGGGAUUAGGGGUUGCCACGUGGCAAGUAGAAAAAGGAGGAAAAAUGUUAGGAAAUCCCAAAAGGGAUCAGGAUAGGGUAAAAGUUCAAGGGUAGAAAUGUAAUUUUUUAGUCUUUGAUAUAAAAUUACACAAAAAUUUGGGGAGGGGUUUUACACUCAGGGGGGUGCCACCUCCUCGAUUGGGAUGUCAA
Molecule: long non-coding RNA, 3281 nt
Filed under: Malus domestica (apple)
Lineage: Eukaryota; Viridiplantae; Streptophyta; Magnoliopsida; Rosales; Rosaceae
Description: long non-coding RNA (MDOM_LNC003688)
Source: RNAcentral